Molecule: ribosomal RNA, 62 nt
Filed under: Chitinophagaceae bacterium
Lineage: Bacteria; Pseudomonadati; Bacteroidota; Chitinophagia; Chitinophagales; Chitinophagaceae
Also listed under: 1 other name
Description: partial 16S ribosomal RNA
Source: RNAcentral
UUUACAAUGGAGAGUUUGAUCCUGGCUCAGGAUGAACGCUAGCGGCAGGCUUAAUACAUGCA